This 216-nucleotide ribosomal RNA is filed under the name uncultured bacterium. Its description in RNAcentral is "partial 16S ribosomal RNA". It matches the Rfam family "Bacterial small subunit ribosomal RNA", at positions 524 to 736 of the family's 1533-position model. The record is from RNAcentral.
UACGUAGGGGGGCAAGCGUUGUCCGGAUUUAUUGGGCGUAAAGAGCGUGUAGGCGGUUUGGUAGGUCCGCUGUGAAAAACUCGAGGCUCAACCUCGAGACGCCGGUGGAAAACCAUCAGACUAGAGUCCGGAAGAGGAGAGUGGAAUUCCUGGUGUAGCGGUGAAGUGCGCAGAUAUCAGGAAGAACACCCGUGGCUAAGGCGGCUCUCUAGUACG